This 253-nucleotide ribosomal RNA is filed under the name uncultured bacterium. Its description in RNAcentral is "partial 16S ribosomal RNA". It matches the Rfam family "Bacterial small subunit ribosomal RNA", at positions 524 to 776 of the family's 1533-position model. The record is from RNAcentral.
UACGUAGGGACCAAGCGUUGUUCGGAUUUACUGGGCGUAAAGGGCGCGUAGGCGGCAAUUCAAGUCAGCUGUGAAAUCUCCGAGCUUAACUCGGAACGGUCAGCUGAUACUGUUUUGCUAGAGUGCAGAAAGGGCAACCGGAAUUCUUGGUGUAGCGGUGAAAUGCGCAGAUAUCAAGAGGAACACCUGAGGCGAAGGCGGGUUGCUAGGCUGACACUGACGCUGAGGCGCGAAAGCUAGGGUAGCAAACGGG